GACGAACGCUGGCGGCGUGCUUAACACAUGCAAGUCGAACGGAAAGGCCCUGCUUUUGUGGGGUGCUCGAGUGACGAACGGGUGAGUAACACGUGAGUAACCUGCCCUUGACUUUGGGAUAACUUCAGGAAACUGGGGCUAAUACCGGAUAGGAGCUCCUGCUGCAUGGUGGGGGUUGGAAAGUUUCGGCGGUUGGGGAUGGACUCGCGGCUUAUCAGCUUGUUGGUGGGGUAGUGGCUUACCAAGGCUUUGACGGGUAGCCGGCCUGAGAGGGUGACCGGCCACAUUGGGACUGAGAUACGGCCCAGACUCCUCCGGGAGGCAGAAGUGGGGAUUAUUGCACAAUGGGCGGAAGCCUGAUGCAGCAACGCCGCGUGCGGGAUGACGGCCUUCGGGUUGUAAACCGCUUUCGCCUGUGACGAAGCGUGGGUGACGGUAAUGGGUAAAGAAGCACCGGCUAACUACGU
RNAcentral lists this ribosomal RNA (467 nucleotides) under uncultured bacterium. RNAcentral describes it as "partial 16S ribosomal RNA". It matches the Rfam family "Bacterial small subunit ribosomal RNA", at positions 28 to 506 of the family's 1533-position model. The record is from RNAcentral.